GAAUAUUGCACAAUGGGCGCAAGCCUGAUGCAGCGACGCCGCGUGAGGGAUGACGGCCUUCGGGUUGUAAACCUCUUUCAGCAGGGAAGAAGCGCAAGUGACGGUACCUGCAGAAGAAGCACCGGCUAACUACGUGCCAGCCGUCGCGGUAAUACGUAGGGUGCGAGCGUUGUCCGGAAUUAUUGGGCGUAAAGAGCUUGUAGGCGGUUUGUCGCGUCUGCUGUGAAAAUCCGAGGCUCAACCUCGGACUUGCAGUGGGUACGGGCAGACUAGAGUGUGGUAGGGGAGACUGGAAUUCCUGGUGUAGCGGUGAAAUGCGCAGAUAUCAGGAGGAACACCGAUGGCGAAGGCAGGUCUCUGGGCCACUACUGACGCUGAGAAGCGAAAGCAUGGGGAGCGAACAGG
RNAcentral lists this ribosomal RNA (405 nucleotides) under uncultured bacterium. RNAcentral's name for it is "bacterial SSU rRNA". It matches the Rfam family "Bacterial small subunit ribosomal RNA", at positions 359 to 776 of the family's 1533-position model. The record is from RNAcentral.